CCCAGCGUGCGGGGGCGGAGAGCGCUGCUCGGUCAGACAGAGCGGCGGCCGCUGGGACCCGCUCCCUCGCAAGGGCUGGGGAGGAGAGCCCCGAGUGGCCGGAUAAAUACGGGGGAGGAGAAGGGCGUCUCUCUCUCUCCCUCUCCCCACCUCCCUCCACCUCCUCCCUCCCCCCCGCCGCGGAGGGCGCGCUUGGAACUGCCUCUGUGUGUCCGGGCGCCCGGGGCGUCUCCGCGCCCUUCCGCGGUGCGGUGCGGUGCGCGCAGGCUGGGCGCGGGAGGCUGCUGCUGCUGCUGCUGAAGGUGAAGCUCUCGCUCUCCAAUUACUUUUCCCAAGAGAGAGAAGGAGGCAGCUGGAGGGGGAAGUCGUGCUGUGUGUGGAAGGCACACCAAUCAGAGAUGCUCUAACGGAGGGACUGCUGCAGGACGCGCCGGCUUCUCCUCCUUCCUCUGCCGGCGGGGCUGAAUCGGGACCACUCGCAGCUGGCGUAGGGGCCGGAGCCGUACUGGGCUGCAGGACUUACCCAUCUCCGCUUUUCCAUUAGCUCAACCAUACUUCGUCCUCUCUAUUUUUUUCUUUUUUUAAUACUCUGAAAUCGUGCACAAGAAGCACCCCAAGUCUCCUCUCCAUUCCCAGUUACUUUACCGUUCCUCUAGCGUCUCUUAGCCGGAUUCCUGGUGUAUUCCCAGAGAGGCGGGGUGAGCGAGCCGGGCCCCGCGGACGGCUGCUGCCCCAGCCGAGCCGAGCGGAGCCGAGCGGAGCGCGGCGCCGCUCCAUGCCCCGAGCGCUGGCGGGGCGCGGGGCGUGUGCCGGCGAUGCCCGGGCGGUAAGGCUGGAGCUCCCCCCGGACGGGAGGCGGCCGAUCGCUAGGCAUUUCUAGCGAGAAUCGGGACUGCAGGAUGAAUAAGAGAUACUUACAGAAAGCAACAAAAGGAAAACUGCUAAUAAUAAUAUUUGUUGUAACACUGUGGGGGAAAUUAGCAUCUGGGGCAAAUCAUCAUAAAGCUCACCAUGUUAAAACUGGGACCUGUGAAGUGGUGGCGCUUCACAGAUGCUGCAAUAAGAAUAAGAUAGAAGAAAGAUCACAGACAGUGAAGUGUUCCUGCUUCCCUGGGCAGGUAGCAGGUACCACCCGGGCAGCUCCUUCUUGUGUUGAUGCUUCGAUAGUGGAGCAGAAAUGGUGGUGCCACAUGCAACCAUGUCUUGAAGGGGAGGAAUGUAAAGUUCUUCCAGAUCGUAAGGGAUGGAGCUGUUCCUCUGGGAAUAAAGUGAAAACAACUAGGGCAAACGUGUAAAACUCUUCAAGUCCGAAUGGAGAAGUAGAGAAAGGAGGUUUCUGCUGUGCCUGAUGACAAUUUUUGUUUUUUCCACACACAAAAAAUAUUCUGGCUCCACGAUGGAGCACUAGUUGUGAUGAAUCCUAGUCUUGGUCGGAUUCUAAGGAAGGGCCAGAACGUUCGUUGAGGAAUAAAGAGUCAAACCACUCCAGAAAAUGUGUUCCAGCCCCGGUUUAUUGCUCACAGAGCAGCAGGUAACCCGAUAGCUAAAGACAAAUCAAGCCAGUCUCAAGGCUGAUAACAUUAAAUACAACACAUAGGAAUUUCAUUCAUCCAGGCAAUCCUUGAAGUGAAAUUUUAUACUGCUGGGGUGUAUCCUUCAGAAUCAAUUGUUUCAAUGAGAACCUGGCUUGCAAUCAGCCACGGCCUUGAGAUCAAAACUACUGGAAAGUUAUUUUGAACUUCUGUGUCACAAAUAUUUCAACUGAUUGAACUGUGUACACUUGUAGAAUUACACUUGCUGAGGAAUUUGCAGCUGUAAUCAUGAGCUAAUAUUCUAAAGGUGCAGAAAAGCAGCAAACUUUUGGGUUCUCCGUUGCAGAACAGCGGCUUUUCAUCUUGAAGUCAAACUCUGAAAUGUAUUGGAUCCUUCACUCUGAAAUGAUCCUUGGUCCACUGUUCAGAUUGCUGGUGGGACUGCACACGGCUUUAAUUAAAUUUCUGUUGCAGAAAUUGUCCUCAAGCAUGGCGCAGUUUUAGACAUUCUUAUUUGUGUUCUAAUCUUGCAGCUCUCAAAGGUACAUAUUUCAACAUCUUGAAGUUGCUUUGUUAUAGGAAUGGAAUUAUAUAUCCAUUGUUAAUAAUUAUUGUUGACAAGUAAUAGUUAUCUGAAUACAUCAGUCAUAUUAGAAUGUAUAGUCAGGUUGACAUGUUUCCCUAAGGCUAACCAACUACUGCAGCUUAACAGUUAAAGAAAGUAGUGGUCAAAACUCAAUUACCACUUCCAUCAUAAGGCAUUUUAUAUAUUUAAUAUAUGCAUUUCGAUUUAGUUUGAAGGAAAUGGGUGUUCCCAAUAUGUACUUUACUUUCCUAACCUUUAAUUCAUUUAAAUUGAUGGUAAGAAGUCAAUUACACUAUUUCAUCCCUUUUUUACAAAGAUAGGCAGGGAUGUAAAUGAGUUUUGCAGUUAUGAUAUUGGAUGGUAAUAAUUCCGAAUUUUUGUCUUUUUAUUAAAAAAUAAAAUCUCUUGCUUGAACCUAAAUACUGAUGGAUGCUUAUGUAGAUGUCUGCUCAGUCUGUUUGCCAUAAAGGAAAAAAGUCCUAGUGCUCUCCCAGUUUACACUUCAUGGGUAUUUUGCUUGCAUACAGUCAUCCAAUUCAGAUCUGUUUUGUUAGAAAUUAUUGAACUUUGAAAUGUGUUAUUACAUGAAAAAAAAAAUCCUCAAUAUUUGAAGGCCUUAAGCAUCUUUGAGCUUUUUUCUAAGUUAUUACAGAAUGUAUAAUUUUAUACUCCAUUUAAUGUAUAUUGGACCAUCUGUAAUGUUGAUACAAAAGAAUUUUGGCAAUUCCUUUUAGUGACACUGCAUAAACACACUGAAUAGAGGGAGUUCUGACUGUAUGCUUUGGUGAAUUGAAAUGAAAGCCACACACACCUAAUGGUUGUCAAAAAUACAUAGAAGUAAGCUUGUUUAAGUCUGUGGUUAUCAAACACAGAAAAACCCCCCAAAAAAUAGAAAAAAAAAUAAAAAGAAAAAAAAAAGAAAAAAAAAGGAAUAGAAAGAAAUGGUUUAAUCAUUACAAGCCAUUGACAUGGCUAGUUUAGUUAUAUAUUAAGUUCUGUGAUGGAUGAACACCCUGGUGAGCUCUGCCUGUCGCUGUAGCCCCUGCUGUUCCAAAACCAUUUCAUUACCUCUGCUGUAUUAUUGCACAGGAGAGCUUAAAUAAAAUAAAUGACUGUUGGGAAUAAAACUGAGAAGUAUAUUCUAUCAUUUUGCUCAGAAAUAAUAAGAAAUAUGUUGUCAGAAAAAGAUCUUAUUUUCUGAUUAAAAUUUAAUUAGAAUAAACCGGUUGUAGUAGAAACUAAGUCUCUUGGUAUUUUAGGAUGGAUUAGUAUUAUAUGGAUUUGUGCUUUGAGGUUCAGGAUGGAAGGAACAUCUUAAAGAGGUUGUCUGGGACAGUGCAAAGUGUAAAUGUGCUGUUUUGUAAAAUCUAAAUAUGACCUCUGUUUGGUCGAAAAUCUACAUCAUGCUUCUCAAUACUUGUUUUCUUUGUUUCCUUGUUCUUAAACAGCGCUGAAAAUACUGUAUUAUAUACAAGUGUAACACAUGCAUACCAAUAAAUGAAAAUAAAUGGAUUUUCAAAUAUACUGAAUAGAUUCUCUGCAGUAGAUUAAUGUUGUGACUAUUCAUAGCAAGUGAAUAAAAUUGUAAUAUAAAAUAGA
This is an RNA transcript of Zonotrichia leucophrys gambelii, 3717 nucleotides long. It is a transcript of the gene named TAFA chemokine like family member 2, with no coding region annotated. The record is from RefSeq and is a predicted model, not a curated record. The transcript has 6 exons. NCBI's taxonomy places the organism in Eukaryota, Metazoa, Chordata, Aves, Passeriformes, Passerellidae.